This 412-nucleotide ribosomal RNA is filed under the name uncultured Serratia sp. RNAcentral describes it as "bacterial SSU rRNA". It matches the Rfam family "Bacterial small subunit ribosomal RNA", at positions 355 to 755 of the family's 1533-position model. Lineage: Bacteria; Pseudomonadati; Pseudomonadota; Gammaproteobacteria; Enterobacterales; Yersiniaceae. The record is from RNAcentral.
UGGGGAAUAUUGCACAAUGGGCGCAAGCCUGAUGCAGCCAUGCCGCGUGUGUGAAGAAGGCCUCGGGUUGUAAAGCACUUUCAGCGAGGAGGAAGGUGGUGAGCUUAAUACGCUCAUCAAUUGACGUUACUCGCAGAAGAAGCACCGGCUAACUCCGUGCCAGCAGCCGCGGUAAUAAACGGAGGGUGCAAGCGUUAAUCGGAAUUACUGGGCGUAAAGCGCACGCAGGCGGUUUGUUAAGUCAGAUGUGAAAUCCCCGGGCUCAACCUGGGAACUGCAUUUGAAAGCUGGCAAGCUAGAGUCUCGUAGAGGGGGUAGAAUUCCAGGUGUAGCGGUGAAAUGCGUUAGAGAUCUGGAGGAAUACCGGUGGCGAAGGCGGACCCCCUGGCACGAAGACUGACGCUCAGGUGCG